RNAcentral lists this ribosomal RNA (492 nucleotides) under uncultured bacterium. RNAcentral describes it as "partial 16S ribosomal RNA". It matches the Rfam family "Bacterial small subunit ribosomal RNA", at positions 30 to 507 of the family's 1533-position model. The record is from RNAcentral.
AGUGAACGCUGGCGGCAGGCCUAACACAUGCCAGUCGAACGGCAGCACAGUAAGAGCUUGCUCUCACGGGUGGCGAGUGGCGGACGGGUGAGGCAUACAUCGGAAUCUACUUUGUCGUGGGGGAUAACGGAGGGAAACUGACGCUAAUACCUAAUAAGACCUACGGGUGAAAGCAGGGGAUCUUCGGACAUUGGCAGAACUAAUAGGUCGAUGUCGGAUUUGCUAGUUGGCGGGGUAAAGGCCCACCAAGGCAACGAACCGUAGCUGGCCGGCGAGGAGGAUGGGCAAAUCUGGAACGGGGACAGGGUCAAGACUCCUAGGGGGGGCGGCGGUGGGGAAUAUUGGACAAUGGGGGCAGUCCUGAUGAGGCAAUACGGCGUGGGUGAGGAGGGCCUUGGGGUGGUAAAGUCCUUUUGUUGGGAAGGAAGAGGAGGAGGGUAAUACGCCGAUGUAGUGACGGUACCCAAAGAGUAAGCGACGGCUAACUUCGUG